GACGAACGCUGGCGGCGUGCUUAACACAUGCAAGUCGAACGGAGUGGCGAACGGGUGAGUAACACGUGGGUGACCUGCCCGGCACUUCGGGAUAAGCCUGGGAAACUGGGUCUAAUACCGGCUAGUGUGGGAUGGGCGCGCGGCCUAUCAGCUUGUUGGUGGGGUAAUGGAGUACCAAGGCGGCGACGGGUAGCCGGCCUGGGAGGGUGGACGGCCCCAUUGGGACGGAGGAACGGCCCGGACGGAGACGGGAGGAAGCAGAGGGGGAUAUUGCACAAUGGGCGGAAUGAGGAAUCAGCGACGCCGGGUGGGGGAUGUCGGCCUUCGGGUUGGAAACUCCUUUCACCGUCGAGGCGGUAGAUGGAGAAGAAGCAACGGCUAACUACGUGCCAGCAGCCGCGGUAAUUC
Molecule: ribosomal RNA, 408 nt
Filed under: uncultured bacterium
Lineage: Bacteria
Description: partial 16S ribosomal RNA
Rfam family: Bacterial small subunit ribosomal RNA
Source: RNAcentral